Molecule: ribosomal RNA, 253 nt
Filed under: uncultured bacterium
Lineage: Bacteria
Description: partial 16S ribosomal RNA
Rfam family: Bacterial small subunit ribosomal RNA
Source: RNAcentral
UACGUAGGGAGCAAGCGUUGUCCGGAAUCAUUGGGCGUAAAGCGCGCGUAGGCGGCCCGAUAAGUCCGUUGUGAAAGUCAAAGGCUCAACCUUUGAAUGCCGAUGGAUACUGUCGGGCUAGAGUCCGGAAGAGGCGAGUGGAAUUCCUGGUGUAGCGGUGGAAUGCGCAGAUAUCAGGAGGAACACCGAUAGCGAAGGCAGCUCGCUGGGACGGUACUGACGCUGAGGUGCGAAAGCGUGGGGAGCGAACAGG